Molecule: long non-coding RNA, 3955 nt
Filed under: Triticum aestivum (bread wheat)
Lineage: Eukaryota; Viridiplantae; Streptophyta; Magnoliopsida; Poales; Poaceae
Description: long non-coding RNA (TAES_LNC004653)
Source: RNAcentral
AGUCUCACAAUCAAGUCACAUAUUUAUUGAUACAUUUCACUGAUGAUGUUCAAGGACAAUAUGGACAAUAUGGAUAACUCAUGAAUACAUAGGGAAAUAUCAUCAUGUCAUGAUUGAUCAUAUCCCCAACAGUCUCCCACUUCCACUAGAGUCAAUCAUUUAGGCAUUGUAGUCCCAUGUGACGCCCCCGAUUCAAUCGUACACUAAUCAUACACGCAAAUGUGUACGAUCAAGAUCAGGGACUCACGGGAAGAUAUCACAACACAACUCUAGACACAAAUAAAAUAAUACAAGCUUUAUAUUACAAGCCAAGGGCCUCGAGGGCUCGAAUACAAGCUCGAUACGCAAGAGUCAGCGGAAGCAACAAUAUCUGAGUACAAACAUAAGUUAAUCAAGGAUGCCUUAAGAAGGCUAGCACAAACAUCAACAAUCGAAGAGGCAAGGCCUCCUGCCUGGGACCUCCUAACUACUCCUAGUCGUCGUUCCAUGAACCGGCUCCACGUAGUAGAAGGCACCCUUUGGGUAGUAGUAGUAGUCGGCGGGGGUGGCAUCUGGCUCCAUGGAUCCACCAUCUGGUUGCAUCAACUGGAAAGAAGAAAGAAGGGGGGAAAGGGGUAGCAAAGCAACCGUGAGUACUCAUCCAAAGUACUCGCAAGCAUCAGAUCUAUACUAAGUAUGCACUGGUAUCAAAUGGAAGGUUUGUAUAUGUGGACUGAACUGCAGAAUGCCAGAAUAGAGGGGGAAAGCCUAGCCUAUCGAAGACUAGCAUCUUCACGCAGCUCCAAGCAUCUUGCAGCAUGUAGAAGAGUAAAGAAUAACAGUUUAUAAUUAACAAGCAUGUUGUAACAUUAAUGCCCAGAGAUCCUUCCUCGACUCCCUGUGAGAAAGCAAUCCCGGAGCCACAUAUCCAUCACAUAUCAAGUAUCCAUUUCUAGUUGUAUAAGAUCAGGAUAUAAGUCUGAACAUCCAUUACCGAGGACACGGUAUUCGAAUAAAGAUCUUCCCUGCAGGGGUGCACCACGUUACCCAACACGCUCGAUCACUCUGGCCGGACACACCUUUCUGGGGUCAAUGCCCACCCUCGGACGAUCAACACGUCGCGGCCCGACCUAGGCUCAGCAGAAAGGUCCCCGCCAGUCUACAUCCUAAGCACUCCGGGGUCUGGGCCCAUCGCCCGUUGCACUCCGGAUCGUUGUGUGCAGGGUGGAUACCAGCACCACCCGUGUAGUGGAUGGCACGAUCCGACUGUGCCACAAUGCUGAACUGGACGUCGGACAAAGCUUCGGCUGAUACCACGACGUCGAGGCCCAUAACUAUUCUCGCGUGGUGGUUAGUGCGUAAAGGCCAAAGGCCAACUCAGAACAAAUACCCAAACCUGUUAGUGCAUUAUUAAAAGGAGUGACGGCUGUCGGGACAAGUCCGGAGCUAUCACCCCCUCCCGGGUGAUACCGCUAAACAGCCAGCCGCCACUGUCACAUCGCACGGGUGCUCUCCGGGCCCGCCAGGCCUUCUCAACGGUCUCCAGUAAAAUCAAGGUAACUGUGUGUCCAGACAUUAAGGGGGAAAACCCGAGGAAUCACCCCCGGUGGAUUCCACUCAAUGUAAUCAUCAAGGUGAACAUAAGAGGGACCACCCUCGAGGUUCACACUUGAGGUGUUGCACGACAGAGCCGUAUCAGGAAUGGUGAAAGAGGAACCACCCUCGAUGACCACACCGAAUAGCUACACUACAGAAUUAUCAUCAGGAGUGCGUUAGGAGGGAUCACCCUCGGCACUCGAUAGUAGCCCUGCAGAGUCGAGCAACUAAAGGGGCGUGAUGUGAUGUGAGGUGUCGGGCUCUGGUCGUCGAUCACGUCGAUCGAGGCGUCGAUGAUGAAGCAGGGGCAACAAGGACAAGUGGGGGUCACUGAUGUAUCACUAACCAACCUAUACUAAGCAGUUUAGGAUAAACAGGUAGGUAACAAAAGCAGGUACAAAAGCAGGCUAUGCAUCAGAAUAGGAGCAAACAAUAACAGUAGCAAAAUCUAAUGCAAGCAUGUGAGUAUAGAAUGGGCGAUAUCGAGAUGAUCAAAGGGGGGGCUUGCCUGGUUGCUCAGACAAGAAGAAGGGGUCGUCGUCGACAUAGUUGAUCACAGCGGCAUCAGCAGCGGUCUCGGGGUCUACCGAAGAGAAGAGGGGGAAGAACAGUAAAUACAGGCAAACAUAUGCACAACAUGAUUAUAAGCGGGGCUAGAGGUGUUCUAACGCAGUGCUAGGCGAUACUGGCGAAGGGGGAAACAUCCGGGAAAGUUUUCCCGGUUCCGGACGUCUGUCAGACAAAUGAACCGGAGGGGAAAAGUUCAACGUUUGCUAAGAUAGGUACGUGUGGCGGACGAACGGACCGCGUAUUUGGAUUCGUCUCGUCAUUCUGAGCAACUUUCAUGUAUAAAACUUUUUCAUCCGAGCUACGGUUUAAUUUCUAUUAAUUUUUAAAGUUUUAUUAAUAUUCUGAAAUUAUUAUUAAUUCAAAAAAAGGUAAAUUGCUAGGUGCACCUGGUGCAGUGCACCCAACAGUGCACAAGAGGAUGACAGUGGGUCCAGGGGGUCCCAGUUGACUCAGUCAACAAUGCAGUCAACAGUCAACAGUUUGACUGUUGACUGGUCAAAACUGUAGAUGGAGCCUAGGUGUCAUUCACACAUAUCUUGCAUUUUCUUUUUAAGUGGAUAUUUAGAGGGGGGGUCCACCUGUCAUUUGCACUAUACCUAACCACUGAUUAGACUAACAAGUAGGAGUACUAAUUAGCUAACGGAGAGCCGGCCGGCCACCGCACACACAGAAUACACACACGCACACACACUUCUGUUUUCUGCUAACAAAAGAUAGCAUUUUGUAAUUUUCAUAGGAUUUAUUCCAUGCAUUAAAUGGAUUUGGUCCAGUGGACACAUUUAAGCAUUGUCAAGUGUACUUUCUACUAAUAUUAUUUUUAGCCUUGUUAACAGUUUUUUAACCAAAGUUUAGGGGUUGUUUAGGGGGUUACUCAAUGUAAAAACAUUUCCCGCAAAAAAAAAACUCAAUGUAAAAACUAAAAAGCUAGCUAUUAGCUACAGUUGCUAUCAUCAGUUAGGAUCAGUAGCAGUAGACGAGUAGCAAGCGGCAGCAGCAGUGGGCAACCAGAAGCAGUAGCCGCUGGUAGCAGCAGGCACGCACGCCGGCGCGUGCGCACGCGCAAGGCACGACCGGCGCGGUGAGCAGCGAGUAGCGCCGGGCGUGCAGGGGAGCGCGCGUGCUCGUAAUUGGAGGCGCGGGCGGACGAGCAGGGCUGUGGCCCCGGCGUAGUAGGGGAUCCCGGCGAGCGCGUUCCGGCGUGAGUGCGAGAUGACAGCGACGGCGUCGUGCGUGUGCGGGCCAGGGGAGCGCGAGCGCGUACAGGGGAGGAACGGGCGCGCGGAGCUUCGGGCGAGUCGGUCGCAGCAUCCUACGGCGUCAAAUCGAAGAGGAGAAGGGGAGUUUGGACGUGGUGCUCACCGAGGAGGCACAAGGAGGCCCGUCGAGAGGUUAGGAGCAGCAGGCGCGACGGAAACGACGGCGAACGGCGCCGGACCUCGGGGUUGAAGACGGGACGGUCGAUGCGGUGCUGUGGCGCGGUGAAGCAGCGGCGGUGGUCGUGGUGGUCGAGGUCGGGGCCAGGGAGGCGAGGACGAAGUGGUCGGAGCGUCUUCGCGCGCGUCAUCGUGGAGGCGGUCGGGGACGGGACAACGACGAGGAGCCCGUUGCAGAGGCGUUGAGCUCCAAAGGGUGGUCUCAGGCGGCGUAGGGGAUGGUGGAGGAGCACGCGGACUCGACGAACGGGCACGGUGGUUGCCGGUCGUCCUGGUGGAGACGGAUGGCGGCGCCGACGGCGUUCGUCGAUGGCGGAUCUGGGCACGAGGGAGUGUGACGAGGGAGAGAGGGGGCGAGGGAAAAUAUCUACGNNNNN